ACGAACGCUGGCGGCGUGCCUAACACAUGCAAGUCGAGCGAGGAGAUUCCUUCGGGAUGAUCCUAGCGGCGGACGGGUGAGUAACACGUGGGCAACCUGCCUCAUAGAGAGGAAUAGCCUUCCGAAAGGGAGAUUAAUACCUCAUAACAUUGCAGUUUCGCAUGGAACAGCAAUUAAAGGAGUAAUCCGCUAUGAGAUGGGCCCGCGGCGCAUUAGCUAGUUGGUGAGGUAACGGCUCACCAAGGCGACGAUGCGUAGCCGACCUGAGAGGGUGAUCGGCCACAUUGGGACUGAGACACGGCCCAGACUCCUACGGGAGGCAGCAGUAGGGAAUCUUCCGCAAUGGACGAAAGUCUGACGGAGCAACGCCGCGUGAGUGAAGAAGGUUUUUUCCGGAUCGUAAAACUCUGUUGUCAGAGAAGAACAAGUUGGAGAGUAACUGCUCCAGCCUUGACGGUAUCUGACCAGAAAGCCACGGCUAACUACGUGCCAGCAGCUGC
RNAcentral lists this ribosomal RNA (500 nucleotides) under uncultured bacterium. Its description in RNAcentral is "bacterial SSU rRNA". It matches the Rfam family "Bacterial small subunit ribosomal RNA", at positions 29 to 518 of the family's 1533-position model. The record is from RNAcentral.